This 425-nucleotide ribosomal RNA is filed under the name uncultured bacterium. RNAcentral's name for it is "partial 16S ribosomal RNA". It matches the Rfam family "Bacterial small subunit ribosomal RNA", at positions 354 to 796 of the family's 1533-position model. The record is from RNAcentral.
GUAGGAAAUAUUGCACAAUGGAGGAAACUCUGAUGCAGCGACGCCGCGUGAGUGAUGAAGGCCUUCGGGUCGUAAAACUCUGUGAUAAGGGAAGAUGAUGACGGUACCUUAUCAGAAAAGACCGGCUAACUUCGUGCCAGCAGCCGCGGUAAUACGAGGGGUCUAAGCGUUGUUCGGAAUCACUGGGCGUAAAGCGGGUGUAGGUGGCUAUGCAAGUUGGAUGUGAAAGCCCCGGGCUCAACCCGGGAAGUGCAUCCAAAACUACGUAGCUUGAGUGCGGUAGAGAAAGGCAGAAUUCCUGGUGUAGUGGUGAAAUACGUAGAUAUCAGGAGGAACUCCGGUGGCGAAGGCGGCCUUUUGGCCCAGCACUGACACUCAGACCCGAAAGCGUGGGUAGCAAACAGGAUUAGAUACCCGUAUAGUCC